Rana temporaria (common frog) is the source of this 428-nucleotide long non-coding RNA. RefSeq lists it as uncharacterized. The record is from RefSeq and is a predicted model, not a curated record. NCBI's taxonomy places the organism in Eukaryota, Metazoa, Chordata, Amphibia, Anura, Ranidae. The transcript has 3 exons.
CGUAGGAUCUGCUACUUACUAUUAAGUCACUUUUGACUUGUAGUCCUUAUCUAACACUGUUUGGAUUCAGGACAGUCCAAGGCUUGUUGCUUUUGUCAUCAGGCUUUCAGAUUCCGCUGGGAGUGGAUAUGGUUGUCAGCUUGAUUGCUUUCACUUGAGUUGGACCCUUUUUGGAUUUCUGCCUUUGAUCCGGCCCGGUGACGGCGAGCGAUAUUCUUGUUGCUUCUCAAUCACAUCUUGAGCCACACACAUUCUUGGACACAUGGAAUACUUUUAUUUUUAAAUAUCUUUGAUCUUAUUGUCUAUAAAUCCCCUGAAGAAGGGAGAAUUUCCGAAACAGCUGUUGGGUGUGACUCUAAGCAGCCUUGUGUUUCCUGUUCAAUUACGUAUUUGAAUGAUUUGUAUUCAUGAUGUAAAUAUUUUUGAUA